This 468-nucleotide ribosomal RNA is filed under the name uncultured bacterium. Its description in RNAcentral is "partial 16S ribosomal RNA". It matches the Rfam family "Bacterial small subunit ribosomal RNA", at positions 28 to 507 of the family's 1533-position model. The record is from RNAcentral.
GACGAACGCUGGCGGCGUGCUUAACACAUGCAAGUCGUGCGGAAAGGCCCUGCUUUUGUGGGGUGCUCGAGUGGCGAACGGGUGAGUAACACGUGAGUAACCUGCCCUUGACUUUGGGAUAACUUCAGGAAACUGGGGCUAAUACCGGAUAGGAGCUCCUGCUGCAUGGUGGGGGUUGGAAAGUUUCGGCGGUUGGGGAUGGACUCGCGGCUUAUCAGCUUGUUGGUGGGGUAGUGGCUUACCAAGGCUUUGACGGGUAGCCGGCCUGAGAGGGUGACCGGCCACAUUGGGACUGAGAUACGGCCCAGACUCCUACGGGAGGCAGCAGUGGGGAAUAUUGCACAAUGGGCGGAAGCCUGAUGCAGCAACGCCGCGUGCGGGAUGACGGCCUUCGGGUUGUAAACCGCUUUCGCCUGUGACGAAGCGUGAGUGACGGUAAUGGGUAAAGAAGCACCGGCUAACUACGUG